GGCUCUGUAGUGUAAUGGUAAGCACUUUGGACUAUGAAUCCAAGAACGUGAGUUCAAAUCUCAGCAGAAUCA
This is a non-coding RNA of Xenia sp. Carnegie-2017, 72 nucleotides long. Lineage: Eukaryota; Metazoa; Cnidaria; Anthozoa; Malacalcyonacea; Xeniidae. The record is from the annotation of a RefSeq genome assembly.